This 235-nucleotide unclassified non-coding RNA is filed under the name fungal sp. RNAcentral's name for it is "partial internal transcribed spacer region". The stretch from base 1 to 46 matches the Rfam family "Eukaryotic small subunit ribosomal RNA", at positions 1786 to 1831 of the family's 1831-position model. The record is from RNAcentral. Lineage: Eukaryota; Fungi.
AAGUCGUAACAAGGUUUCCGUAGGUGAACCUGCGGAAGGAUCAUUAACACUUUUGCAUUUUAUUGGAAAAUUCAAUUUUUUCAAUAAUUUACUUUACCCACAUUUUUGGAUGAAUUAUUUCUUUAUUAACCCUUUAUAAUUUUUAUACCCCAAAAACAAAACUAAUACUAUUUCUAACAUUUAUUUUUAAGAAAAACAUAAAAAACAACUCUUAACAACGGAUAUCUAGGCUCUC